GCAUAUCAAUAAGCGGAGGAAAAGAAACCAACAGGGAUUUACCUCAGUAACGGCGAAGUGAAGCGGUAACAGCUCAAAUUUGAAAGCUAGCUCUUUUAGGGUUCGCAUUGUAAUUUGUAGAAGAUGCUUCGGGUGUGGCCCCGGUCUAAGUUCCUUGGAACAGGACGUCAUAGAGGGUGAGAAUCCCGUAUGUGACUGGGUGCUUUCGCUCAUGUGAAGCUCUUUCGACGAGUCGAGUUGUUUGGGAAUGCAGCUCAAAAUGGGUGGUAAAUUUCAUCUAAAGCUAAAUAUUGGCCAGAGACCGAUAGCGCACAAGUAGAGUGAUCGAAAGAUGAAAAGCACUUUGGAAAGAGAGUUAAACAGUACGUGAAAUUGUUGAAAGGGAAGCGCUUGCAACCAGACUUGCGCGCUGAUGAUCAUCCGGGCUUCUGCCCGGUGCACUCGUCUGCGCUCAGGCCAGCAUCGGUUUCGGUGGUGGGAUAAAGGCCUUGGGAAUGUAGCUCCUCUCGGGGAGUGUUAUAGCCCUCGGUGCAAUGCCGCCUACCGGGACCGAGGACCGCGCUUCGGCUAGGAUGCUGGCGUAAUGGUUGUAAGCGACCCGUCUUGAAACACGGACCAAGGAGUCUAACAUCUAUGCGAGUGUUUGGGUGUCAAACCCAUACGCGUAAUGAAAGUGAACGGAGGUGAGAACCCUUAAGGGUGCAUCAUCGACCGAUCCUGAUGUCUUCGGAUGGAUUUGAGUAAGAGCAUAGCUGUUGGGACCCGAAAGAUGGUGAACUAUGCGUGAAUAGGGUGAAGCCAGAGGAAACUCUGGUGGAGGCUCGCAGCGGUUCUGACGUGCAAAUCGAUCGUCAAAUUUGCGUAUAGGGGCGAAAGACUAAUCGAACCAUCUAGUAGCUGGUCCUGC
RNAcentral lists this ribosomal RNA (907 nucleotides) under Cadophora malorum. RNAcentral describes it as "LSU rRNA". It matches the Rfam family "Eukaryotic large subunit ribosomal RNA", at positions 38 to 960 of the family's 3401-position model. Lineage: Eukaryota; Fungi; Ascomycota; Leotiomycetes; Helotiales; Ploettnerulaceae. The record is from RNAcentral.